This 3464-nucleotide ribosomal RNA is filed under the name Durio zibethinus. Its description in RNAcentral is "eukaryotic LSU rRNA". The stretch from base 385 to 3464 matches the Rfam family "Eukaryotic large subunit ribosomal RNA". Lineage: Eukaryota; Viridiplantae; Streptophyta; Magnoliopsida; Malvales; Malvaceae. The record is from RNAcentral.
UCUCUCAACAAUGGAUAUAUCAGCUUUUACAUCGAUGAAGAAAGUAGCGAAAUACAAUAUUUGGUGUGAAUUGCAAAAUUUGAUGAACCAUCGAGUCUUUGAAGGCAAGUUAUGCCUUAAGCCAUUAGGUCGAGGACACACCUACCUUGGUGACAUGCAUCACACCCCCUCCAACCCUUCACCCAUUAGGCUCCGAGUGAUAGGGGUGGAAUAUGGCCUCCUGCAAUCUCAUCGGCCAUGGUUGGCCCAAAAGGAAAUCCCCAACAACGAUAGCACUGUGACCAUUAUGGUAAAGUUAUCGAUGUGCCUCCUCUCUAAUGAUCCAUGCUCAUUGUCCAUUGAACCCCAUCAGACCCCUACAAUGCUCAAUUGGUGCUCACAUCACAACCCCAGGUCAAGCGGGAUUACCCACUAAGUUUAAGCUUAUCAGUAAGUGGAGAAAAAAAAACUUACCAGAGUGAACCAAGAAGAGCCUAGCUUGAGAAUUAAGUGCCCUUAGUAUCUAAAUUAUAGUCUAGAGAAGUGUUUUCAAUGGCAAACCAGGCCCAAGUUCCCUGGAAAAAGGCAUCAAAGAGGGUGAGAUCCCCAUUGUGCCCCAUUGUGCCCCAUUGUGCCUAGACCCUAUCGUACAAUGAGGUGCUAUCUACGAGUCGAGUUAUUUAGGAAGGCAACCCCAAUAGGGCAGUAAAUUUUGUCUAGGGCUAAAUACGUGUAAGAGACUGAUAGUGAGCAAGUAUCGUGAGGGAAAGAUGAAAAAGACUUUAAAAAAAGAGUCAAAAAGUGCUUGAAAUUAUCAAGAAGGAAGCAAAUCGGGGUCAACAAUGUGCCCUAGUCAAAUGUAGAACGGUGAGAGUUGGUUUACCGAUCAACUCAAGGCAUGGACCAACAUAGGUCAUGGUAACAACUAAAGCCCAAGUUUUUCAUAUGCCCAUGGAGAUAUCAACACUGUGAUCAUUGAAUACAACACAUGCUGUCUCGACACUCCCUGGCACUAGCAUGCUCCCAACAUUGGCUUGUGGGCUCCCCAUUUGGCCCAUCGUGAAACAUGGACAAAAGAGUCUAACAUGUGUGCAAGUCAAUGGGCUAGAAAAGCUAUAAGGUGCAAGGAAGAUGAUUGGCAAGAUCUCUUACAGGUGCACCACUAAUCGAACUUGACCUUUUGAGAGGAGAUUGAGUGUGAGCAUGCUUGUUAGGACCUGAAAGAUGAUGAACUAUGCCUGAGUAUGGUGAAGCUAGAGGAAACUUUGGUAGAGGCCCACAGUGAUACUAACGUGCAAAUUAUUUCUUUGACUUAGGUAUAUGGGUGAAAGACUAAUCAAACCAUCUAGUAGCUGGUUCCCUUUGAUGUUUUCCUUAGGAUAACUAGAGCCAUGGCGAGCUCUAUUGGGUAAAGCCAAUGAUUAAAGGCAUCAGGGGUGCAACACCCUUAACCUAUUCUCAAACUUUAAAUAGGAUGAAUUGGAAGCUAGGUUACAGUGCCCAAUUGCUUGCUAACCGAGAACCCACAAAGGGUGUUAGUCGAUUAAGAUAGCACGAUAGCGAUCAUGGAAGUUGAGAUUCAGUAAGUAGUGUGUAACAACUCACCUACCAAAUUAACUAGCCUCAGAAAUGGAUGGCACUUAAGUGCGUGACCUAUACCUUACCGUCAGUGCAAGGGCCAAGCCUUGAUAACUAAGAGGAUGUAGCGGUUAUCGUAAAACCUAUAAUGCAAGCUUGAGAAGAGCGAUCGUUGAUACAGAUCUUAGCGAUAGUAGCAAAUAUUCAAAUGAGAACUUUGAUGGCCAAAAAAGGGAAAGGUUUCAUGUGAAUGACACUUGCACAUGGGUUAGUCAAUCCUAAAAGAUGGGGAAAACCCAUCUAACAAUGCAUUCGGCAUUAGCUUUAAAAGGGAAUCGGGUUAAACUUCUUGAACUAGGAUUCAACGAUUGAUUACAAUGUUAAGGAGUCCAAAGACAUCAAUGGGUGCCAUAAGAAUAGUUGUCUUUUCUAUUUAAUGACCUGUCCACCCUAGAAAUGGCUCAGUUGGAGAUAGGGUCUAGCUGUUAGAAGAACACCACACAUUGCAUGGUGUCUAAUAUGCCCCUAGCAGCCCUUGAAAAUCUAAAUGAUCGAGUGCCAUCUAUACCUAAUUGUACUCAAAAUUGCAUCAGGUCUUUAAGAUGAACAACCUCUAGUUAAUGGAACAAUGUAGUCAAAAGAAGUUAGCAAAAUGGAUUAGUAACCUUGGGAAAAUGAUUGGCUCUAAAAGUUAAGCAUAGGAGUCCUAAACCUAAACACGUUGGCUAUCGGUGCACUGGUCGAGCUACUCCCAUGAUAAGGGCAGGUUGUCGCAUGCCAAUUAGGGGAUGGAUUAGGAAUGGCUCCCUCGAAGGCAUUCCUCGAGCAAUGAACAAUUGACUUAGAACUGGUAUAGACAAGAGAAAUCUAACUAUUUAAUUAAACAAAGCAUUGCUAUGGUCCCUGUGGAUGCUCACGUAAUGUGAUUUUUACCCAACACUUUGAAUGUUAAAGUGAAGAAAUUCAACCAAGCGUGGGUAAAUGGCGAGAGUAACUAUGACCCUCUUAAGGUAGCCAAAUGCCUUGUCAUCUAAUUAGUGAUGCACAUGAAUGGAUUAAUGAGAUUGCCACUAUCUUUAUCUACUAUCUAGCAAGAACAUAGCCAAAGGGAUGAGCUUGGCAGAAUUAACAAGAAAAGAAGAUCCUAUUGAGCUUGACUCCAGUUUGACUUUGUGAAAUGACUUAAGAGGUGUAUGAUAAGUGAGAGCCCUCUAGCAAAAUUGAAAUACCACUAGUUUUGACAUUAUUUUACGUAUUGUACAAAUCAGAGGUAGGGCAUAACACCUUCUAUUAUACAUAAGGCCAGCCUUGGCUGGUCAAUCUAGGUGAAAGAUAUUAUCAAGUGAGAAGUUUGGCUAAGGUGGCACAACUGUUAAAAGAUAACACAAGUGUUCUAAGAUGAGCUCAAUGAGAAUAGAAAUCUCAUGUAGAACAAAAGGGUAAAAGCUCGUUUGAUUCUGAUUUUUAAUAUGAAUAUGAACCAUGAAAGCAUGGCUUAUUGAUCUUUUAUACCUUUGAAAUUUAAAGCUAAAGGUGUCAGAAAACUUGCCACAAGGAUAAUUGGCUUGUGGCAGCCAAACGUCCAUAACGAUGUUACUUUUUUAUCCUUCGAUGUUAGCUCUUCUAUCAAUAUGGAGCAGAAUUCAUCAAGUGUUGGAUUGUUCACCUACCAAUAGGGAAUGUGAGCUAGGUUUAGACCAUCGUGACAUAGGUUAGUUUUUUCCUACUGAUGGCAACGUCAUAAUAGUAUUUUAACCAAUACAAGAAGAAUCAUUGAUUCACACAAUUGGUCAUCACACUUGGUUAAAAAGCUAGUGGUGCAAAGCUAUUGUAUGCUAGAUUAUGACUAAAUGCCACUAAGUUAGAAUCUAGGCUAGAAUCGAUGCACAUGCCCAUUACUUGAUUGU